Molecule: ribosomal RNA, 520 nt
Filed under: uncultured Glomus
Lineage: Eukaryota; Fungi; Glomeromycota; Glomeromycetes; Glomerales; Glomeraceae
Description: SSU rRNA
Rfam family: Eukaryotic small subunit ribosomal RNA
Source: RNAcentral
AGCAGCCGCGGUAAUUCCAGCUCCAAUAGCGUAUAUUAAAGUUGUUGCAGUUAAAAAGCUCGUAGUUGAAUUUCGGGAUCAACACGUCGGUCGUGCCUUCGGUACGCACUAGCGUCGUUGGUUCCUCCCUUCUGACGAACCAUGAUGUCAUUAACUUGGUGUUUUGGGGAGUUAGGACUGUUACUUUGAAAAAAUUAGAGUGUUUAAAGCAGGCAAUCGCUUGAAUACAUUAGCAUGGAAUAAUGAAAUAGGACGUUCGAUCCUAUUUCGUUGGUUUCUAGGAUCAACGUAAUGAUUAAUAGGGAUAGUUGGGGGCAUUAGUAUUCAAUUGUCAGAGGUGAAAUUCUUGGAUUUAUUGAAGACUAACUACUGCGAAAGCAUUUGCCAAGGAUGUUUUCAUUAAUCAAGAACGAAAGUUAGGGGAUCGAAGACGAUCAGAUACCGUCGUAGUCUUAACCAUAAACUAUGCCGACUAGGGAUCGGAUGAUGUUAAUUUUUAAUGACUCAUUCGGCGCCUUAC